UGCAGUCGAGCGGACUUAAAAANUAUGCUUUUUAAGUUAGCGGCGGACGGGUGAGUAACACGUGGGCAACCUGCCUGUAAGACUGGGAUAACUUCGGGAAACCGGAGCUAAUACCGGAUAAUCCUUUUCUACUCAUGUAGGAAAGCUGAAAGACGGUUUACGCUGUCACUUACAGAUGGGCCCGCGGCGCAUUAGCUAGUUGGUGAGGUAACGGCUCACCAAGGCGACGAUGCGUAGCCGACCUGAGAGGGUGAUCGGCCACACUGGGACUGAGACACGGCCCAGACUCCUACGGGAGGCAGCAGUAGGGAAUCUUCCGCAAUGGACGAAAGUCUGACGGAGCAACGCCGCGUGAGUGAUGAAGGUUUUCGGAUCGUAAAACUCUGUUGUUAGGGAAGAACAAGUACGAGAGUAACUGCUCGUACCUUGACGGUACCUAACCAGAAAGCCACGGCUAACUACGUGCCAGCAGCCGCGGUAAUACGUAGGUGGCAAGCGUUGUCCCGAAUUAUUGGGCGUAAAGCGCGCGCAGGCGGUCCUUUAANUCUGAUGUGAAAGCCCCCGGCUCAACCGCGGAGGGUCAUUGGAAACUGGGGGACUUGUGUGCCGAAAAGAAGAGUGGAAUUCCACGUGUAGCGGUGAAAUGCGUANAGAUGUGGAGGAACACCAGUGGCGAAGGNGACUCUUUUGUCUGUAA
RNAcentral lists this ribosomal RNA (697 nucleotides) under Bacillus sp. (in: firmicutes). RNAcentral describes it as "bacterial SSU rRNA". It matches the Rfam family "Bacterial small subunit ribosomal RNA", at positions 56 to 739 of the family's 1533-position model. Lineage: Bacteria; Bacillati; Bacillota; Bacilli; Caryophanales; Bacillaceae. The record is from RNAcentral.